UCAACAACAUCAAUUACCCAAAAAGAAAAAAAGGCAACAUAUUCAGAGUGUUGCUUGCAAAUGUGAAUGCUUGAGCAUAUGCCCACACACAACCUCAGAAAAGUUGUGGAAGUUUCAAAGCUUUCUGGUGUGUUCAUUUUGCUUGCACUCAUCCCUCCCAUAACGCGGGCACAACUGACAUAGCAUUUCUCAAGUUCCUUGUGGUUGGACGGAGCCAUGGGAUUAACUCUGGCUAAUGAAAUAUGAGCAGAAGUAACAUACAUGGGAUUCUCCAGUGUCUCCCUCUCCUUCCACCACUUCUUUCUGGCCACGUGUUCCAGAUGGUGCAGCUAUAAGCCGGUGGAGUCUUCACCUCCUCAAGUCCUUCAGUGACUAUGUGAAAUAGAGUCUUUGAUUCACAUGGAGAGUGUGUUGAAAUAAACUUGUGUUGGGUCCAUCC
This is a long non-coding RNA of Balaenoptera musculus (blue whale), 439 nucleotides long. RefSeq lists it as uncharacterized. Lineage: Eukaryota; Metazoa; Chordata; Mammalia; Artiodactyla; Balaenopteridae. The transcript has 3 exons. The record is from RefSeq and is a predicted model, not a curated record.